UCGGACGGGAUUGGAGAGCUUGCUUUCCAUGAGAGUGGCGCACGGGUGCGUAACACGUAUGUAACCUACCUUGUUCAGGGGGAUAGCCUCUCGAAAGAGAGAUUAAGACCGCAUAACAUUAUUGAAUGGCAUCAUUUAAUGAUCAAAUAUUUAUAGGAACAAGAUGGGCAUGCGGAACAUUAGCUAGUUGGUGAGGUAACAGCUCACCAAGGCUACGAUGUUUAGGGGAUCUGAGAGGAUGACCCCCCACACUGGUACUGAGACACGGACCAGACUCCUACGGGAGGCAGCAGUGGGGAAUAUUGGACAAUAGGGGCAACCCUGAUCCAGCAAUGCCGCGUGUGUGAAGAAGGCCUUAGGGUUGUAAAGCACUUUAGGCUGGGAGGAAGGUAUGAAGUUUAAGAGAUAUCAUAUUUGACUGUACCGGCAGAAUAAGCACCGGCUAACUCUGUGCCAGCAGCCGCG
Molecule: ribosomal RNA, 465 nt
Filed under: uncultured soil bacterium
Lineage: Bacteria
Description: bacterial SSU rRNA
Rfam family: Bacterial small subunit ribosomal RNA
Source: RNAcentral